GUAACAACGAGCUGUGAGAAGUCAGCAGAGGCCGUAGUAGGCAAAGUCCUGAAAUGGACGUUGCUGAAGGGC
This 72-nucleotide non-coding RNA is filed under the name uncultured Lachnoclostridium sp. The record is from RNAcentral. Lineage: Bacteria; Bacillati; Bacillota; Clostridia; Lachnospirales; Lachnospiraceae.